UAAUACGUAGGGUGCAAGCGUUGUCCGGAAUUACUGGGCGUAAAGAGUUCGUAGGCGGUUUGUCGCGUCGUUUGUGAAAACCAGCAGCUCAACUGCUGGCUUGCAGGCGAUACGGGCAGACUUGAGUACUGCAGGGGAGACUGGAAUUCCUGGUGUAGCGGUGAAAUGCGCAGAUAUCAGGAGGAACACCGGUGGCGAAGGCGGGUCUCUGGGCAGUAACUGACGCUGAGGAACGAAAGCGUGGGUAGCGAACAGGAUUAGAUACCCUGGUAGUCCACGCCGUAAACGGUGGGCGCUAGGUGUGGGUUCCUUCCACGGAAUCCGUGCCGUAGCUAACGCAUUAAGCGCCCCGCCUGGGGAGUACGGCCGCAAGGCUA
Molecule: ribosomal RNA, 377 nt
Filed under: uncultured bacterium
Lineage: Bacteria
Description: bacterial SSU rRNA
Rfam family: Bacterial small subunit ribosomal RNA
Source: RNAcentral